AAAUUGAAGAGUUUGAUCAUGGCUCAGAUUGAACGCUGGCGGCAGGCCUAACACAUGCAAGUCGAACGGUAACAGGAAGCAGCUUGCUGCUUUGCUGACGAGUGGCGGACGGGUGAGUAAUGUCUGGGAAACUGCCUGAUGGAGGGGGAUAACUACUGGAAACGGUAGCUAAUACCGCAUA
RNAcentral lists this ribosomal RNA (181 nucleotides) under Escherichia coli. Its description in RNAcentral is "partial 16S ribosomal RNA". It matches the Rfam family "Bacterial small subunit ribosomal RNA", at positions 1 to 175 of the family's 1533-position model. Lineage: Bacteria; Pseudomonadati; Pseudomonadota; Gammaproteobacteria; Enterobacterales; Enterobacteriaceae. RNAcentral also lists the same sequence under 1 other name. The record is from RNAcentral.